AUUGAACGCUGGCGGCAGGCCUAACACAUGCAAGUCGAGCGGAUGAAGGGAGCUUGCUCCUGGCUUCAGCGGCGGACGGGGGAGUAAUGACUAGGAAUCUGCCUGGUAGUGGGGGAUAACGUCCGGAAACGGGCGCUAAUACAGCAUACGUCCUGAGGGAGAAAGGGGGGGAUCUUCGGACCUCACGCUAUCAGAUGAGCCUAGGUCGGAUUAGCUAGUUGGUGGGGUAAAGGCCUACCAAGGCGACGAUCCGUAACUGGUCUGAGAGGAUGAUCAGUCACACUGGAACUGAGACACGGUCCAGACUCCUACGGGAGGCAGCAGUGGGGAAUAUUGGACAAUGGGCGAAAGCCUGAUCCAGCCAUGCCGCGUGUGUGAAGAAGGUCUUCGGAUUGUAAAGCACUUUAAGUUGGGAGGAAGGGCAGUAAGUUAAUACCUUGCUGUUUUGACGUUACCAACAGAAUAAGCACCGGCUAACUUCGUG
Molecule: ribosomal RNA, 484 nt
Filed under: uncultured bacterium
Lineage: Bacteria
Description: partial 16S ribosomal RNA
Rfam family: Bacterial small subunit ribosomal RNA
Source: RNAcentral